GUAAUUUAAGCUCUACCAUUACAAAUAUUGUUUUGCUGGGGCACGCUAGCAAAAUCUAUAUGUAUGCCAAUUAUUCUAUUAAACAUCCAAGCCUGAAAUAACCAGAGGUUUAUUUCAUUCAUGUAACUUGAAUGACCUGAUGGUUUUUGAUAUUUUUAUGGGAGGCAUUUUGUAACUUAGUAUCACGACAACUGGUGGCUAAUAAAUUACAUGAAGUUCAUAAAAAAGCUUGUAAAUAAAAGCAAAUUUACUAAGAAACAAAGAUCCUGAUUCUCCUUUUCUUCUCUCUGGUACACAUCAGGAAUGAUUCCAUGGAUGUCAGUGGAGUUAUUCUCGUGGGAGAAAGAAAAAAAAGAAAAAAAGAAGAAAAAACAAAUCCAAAAUCUGGCUGACACAGUUCAGAUGGUUCAGACUGAUGCUGGUUGAGAGCUCUUCUAUUCUUUUCUGAUCCAGACAGAUACCUAUCAGACAAAGCACAUGUAGCAAAUUGACUAUGCUUUUGUUCACAGCUCUGUCAUAUCAGUCUCAGAAAUGUACACUGGCAUUUAUAAAGGACUGAAUUGGUAAUUUGAUCCAUAAAAGCAUCAUGACAGGCACAGCAGAAGAAAAUCAGUGGACGUGUCCAUCUUAAACUUUUUAAAGAUUAUCAAGGAAAGAUCCAACAAUGACAGUGAACAAAAGCUUCUUGAUGUGUGUCUCUGCAGAGGGUACUGCGCUCAUAGCAUAAAAGUAAUUAAUAGAAAAAGAAAAGUGUAUUAAUCAGAAAUAUUAUUAUAGAAUGUCUGUGCUCUACAAAAAGUCUUUCCUCUCCUAUCUGGUUCUUUACACCUCUGAUUACUCAAGAUGGCAACAGAGGGGGGAAAAAAAAAGAUCUAGUGAGAAGCUAUAUGCUGAAAUCUUCUCAUCUUGAAAUUGAAAGUAUUUGUCAACACAAGGGUUGAGAAGCUAUACCAUCAAUUAUUAUAGCCAGAUUGCAUCUUGGUCUGCAUACACACACACACAUACACACACACACACACACACACACACAAAUUCUUUUUUAUUAAACUUCUGAAUUGUUAGCACUGCUAGCUAUUCUGAAAGAAAUGGCAGAACAAAUGUGCUGAGAAUAAAGUCUAGGUCACAUCUUACUCUACGCUAAGC
Molecule: long non-coding RNA, 1143 nt
Filed under: Dromaius novaehollandiae (emu)
Lineage: Eukaryota; Metazoa; Chordata; Aves; Casuariiformes; Dromaiidae
Description: lncRNA (ENSDNVG00000016199.1)
Source: RNAcentral